CAGUGUUGCACCAUUAUUGCAAAUUGCAAAAUCGUCACUCAUACUAGUCAGUGCGUGGUCUGCUGCUUGUGACUAAACGAUAUUAAAAGUUAAAAAUAGCCGUCAUCGUUGUUCAUCUGAUCCUGAAUCUUUUACAGAGUAUUGCAUCAUAAUUUGACACUAAUACUGGGUAUAUUGGAUGACAAGGAAUAAGGAGAGACACUCGAAAUUGACUGCAAAUUAAUUUCGAAUUCUACUGUUAAACGAACCGUGGCUUCGUCGCUCUGUAUACGAAUCAGUUACUGUUCCUGUUCAGAUCGCUUCCAAUCCCGCAUUCGGUCGAGUGCGGAUCACUUUUUGUAUGUAGAAUUCUUCUCGACUCCUUUGAUCAAAAUGGCUAAAUGGCAGGAAGUAUCACAUGCAAAGGACAACAACCGUCGAGAAUUACUCUUAAAAGGAAAGGAGAUUGCAGAAAGAAUUGCUCUAAGAGGACUUGAUAAAAGAAUUUUUAAUUUGAGCCCUCUCAACUUCCUUGAAAUAUCUGAUGCUGGAAUAGAGGAACUUCCAAGUGAGAUAGGAAAUUUGUCACAUUUGCUAAACCUCACACUUCGUGGGAAUAAGCUUGUAGUUCUACCAGAUUCGAUAGGUAAAUUAACACGCCUACAAUUUCUUGAUGCGUCAAGAAAUUCUAUAGAAAACGUGCCAGACAGUUUGGGAUGUAUCUCAUCCAUUCACACACUAGAUCUGAGCCAAAACAAGCUUAGUGUGAUCCCAGAAAGCUUCAACAAUCUCUCCAAUCUGGCAUACCUUAACUUUUCUCGGAACAGUUUGACAGAUCUGGAUGUGAUGCUCCGUGGAAAUUUGCACCACCUCGGUGAAGUUCUUGCUUCUCACAACCAGAUCGAGACUAUUCCAUCAGGGGUUGGGGGCCUCGAAUCGCUGCGCACUCUAGAUUUGAGCGAAAAUAAGCUGCAGGAGUUUCCAGCAAGACUUUCACUUUGUCCGAAGUUGAAAGAACUCCAUCUCGUCGAAAAUCCCGUCAAGGACAGACGACUGAAAAAAUUGAUUCAGCAAACGAGAGGUACAAAACCGAUUCUAGAAUACAUCGCUGCGCAUGGGAAGAAGGAGGAGGCAGAGGAUGUAUCUGCGAAAUCCGCUAAGAAAGGGAAAAGGAAAAAGAAAUCUUCGCAAUCGAAGGACGAGGAGACGGAGCAGAUUAGGCAGAGGAUUGAGGUCAUGUCCUUCAGGAAUUCCUCAGAUCCGCUUGAAAUCAAAGCAUGUAAAUCCGUUGUGUUUGUACGGCCGUACAUCGCCUGCUGCAUCGUCAGGAAUCUGGAUUUGUCCCUUGGGAACCGCUUCAAACAGUUCAUUAGUGCCCAGACUAAGCUUCACGAUGGCCCGCUCUGUGCGAAGAGGACCACUGCUACCAUAGCAACCCAUGACCUGAAGUGCAUCAAAGGACCUUUGACCUACGAGGGCAAAUCACCAUCUAGCAUUGAGCUCACUCCUCUGGGUAAGACCAAAGCGGUUACUGCAGAAUCCUUGAUGAAACAGCUUAACCAAGAAGCUGAUGAACUCCGCAAAGAACUCAAGAGGAAUACUGUCUCAGGGAUCCAUAAGUACCUCAGCUUGUUGGCCCAUCAAGAGCUCUACCCAACCUUACUGGAUGCCGCUGGUCAUGUGAUCUCUCUUCCACCAAUCACAAAUUCGGAUGUUUCAAAGAUUUCUCGAUCCACAACCGACAUCCUGAUCGAGGUGACCAGCUCGGAGGACCUAGCCUCCUGCAAGAAGGUUUUACAGGCUCUCCUUGCCAAGAUGCUCGAAUUAAACCUAGGAAGCAAAGGAGAAGCAGACGAAGGGGCUGGGGCGGAGUCUACCUCAGAGGACAAGCAGAAUAAGCUUGUGGUUGAACAGGUGAGGGUCGUCAACGAGGACGGCGACCUCAGGGUCAUCUAUCCCUCCAAGACGGAUCUUGAGGAUUUACCAGGGGUGACGGUUAUACGUCAAUAAUGUAAUUAGCACUGGAUAUUUAGGUAGAUAUAUCAGUUAUUGCUUGAAAAAAAAAAUUCAUUACAAAGUGUAAUUUGACGUGUUUUGAAAUAGCCGUUUAAUUAAUGAUAUACCUUAUUUUGUACUUUUUGUGAGUACUCUCAAACGCUAAAAGGAUUAAUGGGUGGGGCACCAUGAUUUUUCUAGAAGUGAAAAUAAAAACAGAAAACAAGAGGAGGAGAAAGAGGAGUAUCAAAUAGUGAAAAUGUAUUACGGUAUUACCGUUGUAUUCAAUUAAGAUAAAAAUGCUACCUUUGCAGUCAUAUUGCCCCCAUGAAGUAUAUACAUUAACCCCCUAUUUGAAGGAAUUCCUUGAAGUGACUUUUUUUCUGUUUCCUAGUUCAUACUACAGUUGCAAUGCUAUCAAGUUAUUUUGGCUUGAGCAGUGCAUGGAGUGGAGUAAGAAAAGAAAAUAAGUGGGGGCCAGACGGACACAAAGGUUGAUUAUUUUAUGGACUUGCCGUUAAGGGUCAUUCGGGACAAGGUCAUUCGAGGUCAUUGUGUGCACCCUUUUAAUUAUAAACUCCUUUAAACACAACUCAUGUUUGCUCAUCAUGAUAGCAAUAAUCUGUAUCAGGGAAAAGGUACAUGGGCUUGCCUUGGGUGAUUUUGCCCAUGAAUUGCUCAAAAGAGCCCUGGUGGGUGUUUCAUAAACCUGGACCAUCCCUUUAACUUACGAACAGCUUUAUAAAACGGCCCCCGGGAAACUUAAAAUGAAGCCCUAGAUAAGCCCCAUUCAUUGUAUCGUUAAAGCUCAUCCAAUGUUGCCGAUUUAGGCAGUAAGUUGUUAAAAGUAGCCCCUAGAAAAUAUUUCUUGUCAUUCAUCUUUACCAUAUUUCAUGGUAUGGCCCCUUGCAUUUGAUUACUUGAUGGUCGCCUGACCAAUAUCCCUUUUGGAACCCAUCCAUUUUCAAUGAAUGACGUUUUCAUUUCUAUUGGAAAGAAUAUAAAGAAGUAGCAAGAAAUGUAACCGGUUUUUAUAAGAGAUUGUCACAUGAAUUUUUCGUCCGAGCCAAUCAAAAUCAUUGCAUGAUGACAUCUGACAUCACUGUGACUUUUCGUGUAUCUUGCAGCUUAAGCAACAUUGCUUGAUAAAGGUGAAAUUUCCAGUCAAAUCUGGUUAUUUAAUAUAAAUGUUCUCACGGCGGCCUUUUCUGCAUACAAGAAAAUGUUGAAUAACAUGGCACCCCUCAUGUGAGGAAAAAAAAAAUGAUCCAACAAGUUCCUCGUCAAUUUUUUUCUUCAGAGCAAAGUGGCCAUUGCAGGUAUUUCAGAUAGUAUUUAAGCUCAUGAUCGUAGAAUGAUGAAUGCUUGAUUGAAUUCCUGAAUAAAAGUUAUAAUUCUUAGUUUCGAAUGAAUUUGGACUGAAGAAUUAAUCCAUCAUACUUGUGCAAUAUGUGUCUGUGUAGUGAGGACAAAUGCAUUAAUUUUGAUUACAACUGAACGUAUUGCACAAUAAUAAUGAUAAUAGCCAAUUUUUAUAAAGCGCUUUUCCCAGAAUGGCUCAAAGCGCGUUACAGCAUAUUAUUACCCCGGUCAUUGGAUUCAUUUCAAUCCCGCACAAAAAGUGCACAAUUUCCACUCCCUGGGGAGCAUUUAGCACCUGGGUCGAGAGUGGCAAAGUGUGGAUUAACGCCUUGCCAAAGGACGCUAGACCGCGGUGGGAUUCGAACACACAACCCUCUGUUUACAAGGCGAGAGUCAGAACCACUACACCACGGCUCUUCCACAAUUAUGAUGAAUUAGUUGGGAGUGCUGUAAAAGCCACUAUUAAUCAUCUCUAUACUAGCAAGAUUUCUGAUUAAAUACACCGUACUGGGCCAGUAUCGAAUUUGAAACUUAAGCCAGAAUUUUUGUUUUUCUCAGUAUUUUGCUUUUAAUAGUCAAAUAGUUUUCCAUCUUUGGCAGUUGCAUUUUUGGUGAAGUAUUUUGCUUAAAUCUAAGUCAGGCGACUACCACACAUAAGCCUGGCUUGUGUGCAGUUUACAAACGUGAUACGGGCAGUCAUUCUGCGCACAGAUGAAUUCAUACAUUGUGUGUUAUUUGGCUUAAACUUUAUGAUGUCACAAUGGUUAUUAAAUAGUAUUUUGCUUAACGUUGGCUUUAUUAAGUAAAAUGCUUAAGAUGUGAUCUGAAUACGAGUUUAAGCAUUCUGCUUUGCUAAGUGAAAUGUUAAGAAAAAUUCUUACAAAAUCAAUACUUCCAAUUGCAUACUGGCCCUGAUGUUUGGUACUGUCUUAAUUUCAAGGCGUUAAAAUGAUUUCGGAGCGACACUAAACAGUGACCAUUCAAAUAUUAGAUUUGGAUUUGAUCCUUGUGGAUUUGAAUUCAAAGAUUCAAAUAUGAAUCCUGUGAGAUUUGAAAAUAUCAUAAGGAAUAAAAUUAUGAAAAUGAACCCAAUGCUCGUCUUGUCACUACUUACAGCCACUCUAUAUUUAAUUUAAAUCCUUGAAAUUCAGAUUGUAAUGUAGCGUAAUGUAGGAAGUCCACCGUAAAUGAAAGUUCAUGUACAAUCAUAGCAACUAUUAUAUCAUGUGACAUGUUAUAUUGCUUUAUCUAAUAAAGAAAAAUGAAUGACACAGUCAAA
This is an RNA transcript of Lytechinus pictus (painted urchin), 4615 nucleotides long. It is a transcript of the gene named leucine-rich repeat-containing protein 47-like, with no coding region annotated. The record is from RefSeq and is a predicted model, not a curated record. The transcript is spliced from 6 exons. Lineage: Eukaryota; Metazoa; Echinodermata; Echinoidea; Temnopleuroida; Toxopneustidae.